RNAcentral lists this transfer RNA (72 nucleotides) under Camelus bactrianus (Bactrian camel). It matches the Rfam family "tRNA". Rfam says of the family: Transfer RNA (tRNA) molecules are approximately 80 nucleotides in length. RNAcentral also lists the same sequence under 2 other names. The record is from Rfam by way of RNAcentral. Lineage: Eukaryota; Metazoa; Chordata; Mammalia; Artiodactyla; Camelidae.
AGGGGUAUAGCUCAGUAGUAGAGCGUGUGCUUAGCAUGCAUGAGGCCCUGGGUUCAAUCCCCGGUGUCUCCA